AUGGCAGACAUUGACAACAAAGAAGAGUCUGAUCUUGGACAAGAUUUGGGAAGAAAAGAAAAGAAACUGGUGAAGAGAAAAAAAUCAAAGCAGAUUUGUUCAGAUGAUGGAAAAUCCUCAGAUUCUUACAGGCUUUAGAGAAAGACUUGAUGGUUUGGUAGAAAGAUCAACAAGAUAUAUUGAAUGAUUGCCUAAGGUAGUUAAAGAUGAGUCAAUGCUCUCAAAAACCUGCAACUUAAAUGUGCACAGACAGAGGCCAAAUUCCAUGAGGAAGUUUAUGAUCCUGAAAGGAAGUAUGCUACUCCCUCUCAGCCUCUAUUUGAUACGUGAUUUGAUGUUAUUAAUGCAAUUUAUGAACUAUGGAAGAAAAAUGUGAAUUGAAAGGAGAUAAAGAAGACAAAAUUUCAGCUGAAAUUCAAAGCUGAAAGAAAGGCCAAGGUUGAUCAUGAAAAAAUGGAUGAAGAAAACAAAGACCCCAAAGGAAUUCCUAAAUUUUGGACUUGCUCAAUGAUAUAGUUCAGGAACAUGAUGAACCUAUUCUGAAGCACUUCAAAGAUGUUAAGGUGAAGUUCUCAGAUGCUGGCCAACCUAUGAGUUUUGUCUUAGAAUUUCACUUUGAACCCUGAAUAUUUCACAAAUGAAGUGUUGACAAAGACAUAUAGUAUGAAGUCAAAAUCAGAAGACUCUCAUCAUUUUUCUUUUGAUAGGCCAGAAAUUAUGGGUUCUACAGGGUGCCAGAUGGACUGGGAAAAAAGGAAUAAAAACCUUUAAGAAGCAGAAACACAAGGAAUGUGGGACAGUUUCUAAUGGGAAUAAAACAGUUUCUGAUGACUUUAAUUUUUUUCUGCCUGCCUGAAGUUCUGAGAAUGCAGUUCUGGAUGAUGCUGCUGAAGCUGUAUUUGCUGCAGACUGUGAAAAUGGUGUAUAAUCCCAAAAUCAGUGUUACACUUUACUGGAGCAAGUGUUGAAGAUGAUGAUGAUUAUGAUGAAGAAAGUGAAGAAAUGGAUGAUAAAGAGGAAACAAAAAGAGAUGAGAAAAAUUAUCCACCAAAGCAGGAUCAAAACCUCACAGAGAGCAAGCAUCAGUAA
This 1089-nucleotide long non-coding RNA is filed under the name Homo sapiens (human). Its description in RNAcentral is "non-protein coding lnc-SRY-8:1". The record is from RNAcentral. Lineage: Eukaryota; Metazoa; Chordata; Mammalia; Primates; Hominidae.